ACUACGGGAGGCAGCAGUGGGGAAUAUUGGGCAAUGGGCGCAAGCCUGACCCAGCAACGCCGCGUGAAGGAAGAAGGCUUUCGGGUUGUAAACUUCUUUUCUGAGGGACGAAGAAAGUGACGGUACCUCAGGAAUAAGCCACGGCUAACUACGUGCCAGCAGCCGCGGUAAUACGUAGGUGGCAAGCGUUAUCCGGAGUUAUUGGGUGUAAAGGGCGUGUAGGCGGGAAAGCAAGUCAGAUGUGAAAACUCAGGGCUCAACCCUGAGCCUGCAUUUGAAACUGUUUUUCUUGAGUGCUGGAGAGGCAAUCGGAAUUCCGUGUGUAGCGGUGAAAUGCGUAGAUAUACGGAGGAACACCAGUGGCGAAGGCGGAUUGCUGGACAGUAACUGACGCUGAGGCGCGAAAGCGUGGGUAUCGAACAGGAUUAGAUACCCUAGUAGUC
RNAcentral lists this ribosomal RNA (443 nucleotides) under uncultured bacterium. RNAcentral describes it as "partial 16S ribosomal RNA". It matches the Rfam family "Bacterial small subunit ribosomal RNA", at positions 338 to 795 of the family's 1533-position model. The record is from RNAcentral.